This 205-nucleotide ribosomal RNA is filed under the name uncultured bacterium. Its description in RNAcentral is "partial 16S ribosomal RNA". It matches the Rfam family "Bacterial small subunit ribosomal RNA", at positions 1287 to 1500 of the family's 1533-position model. The record is from RNAcentral.
CCCAGUUCGGACUGGAGUCUGCAACCCGACUCCACGAAGCUGGAUUCGCUAGUAAUCGCGCAUCAGCCAUGGCGCGGUGAAUACGUUCCCGGGCCUUGUACACACCGCCCGUCAAGCCAUGGGAGCCGGGGCGCCUGAAGUCCGGGACCGCGAGGACCGGCCUAGGGCGAAACUGGUGACUGGGGCUAAGUCGUAACAAGGUAUC